UACGUAGGGUGCAAGCGUUGUCCGGAAUUAUUGGGCGUAAAGAGCUCGUAGGCGGUUUGUCGCGUCUGCUGUGAAAACUCGGGGCUUAACCCCGGGCCUGCAGUGGGUACGGGCAGACUAGAGUGCGGUAGGGGAGACUGGAAUUCCUGGUGUAGCGGUGAAAUGCGCAGAUAUCAGGAGGAACACCAAUUGCGAAGGCAGCUCGCUGGGACGUAACUGACGCUGAGACGCGAAAGCGUGGGGAGCAAACAGG
Molecule: ribosomal RNA, 253 nt
Filed under: uncultured bacterium
Lineage: Bacteria
Description: partial 16S ribosomal RNA
Rfam family: Bacterial small subunit ribosomal RNA
Source: RNAcentral